AACCAGUGCCAUUUGAUCCCCCUCCACCUCCCCUGAAAAAUAAAUAAAAAAGCAACGGGUUAGAUACAACAAGUGCACACUGGACGGUCCAGAUUCUCCCAUCCUCUUCGGUCAAGAUCGAUACAUGGUCCAAAACGCAUCUCAACUGUUCAUCAUUUUCCAUAAUUUAUUUUUCCACUCAUCUUUCUCUUCAUGGGAGGUUUCGUCUGUUACCCGAAAGUCUCACAUGGUCUUAGUUGUCCUCCUUCUUGUCCCUCUCUUUUAGUAAUUUUAAUAUUAAUUUUUUUAUUUGUUAUUUUUCUCAUGCAAUUAUAAUAUUUGGCUACUUAAAAUUCAUUUUUCUUAAUUUUUUGGAUAGAUUCUCUGAACCAAAUGCUGGAAGGCUUUCUUGUGUUUUGACAAAUGGUUUUGCAUUUCAUGCAAUUUGUGGGGUAUAUUUUGUGGGGUAUAGCUUUUUAGUACCACUACCAUUGUGAGGGGGCUCAAAUUUUUUUUUUUUUUAACUUUUUGGUUUCAAAUUUUGAUUUUUUCCCCCUUUUAGAGAAAGUGGGUCUGCAACUAUUUGUGGUUCUAGAGGUCUGGGGUCUCUCUAAAUUUGGAGGUGCUUGGUGUUGGUUUAGUCAUGGUUUGGAGGGAAAUACUCAGUGUGGGUUUGUUUUAGAGUGGAGUUUUGCUCAAAGGGUUUCUUCAUCUUUUUCUAUUCAAAUUUGGUAUUUGUUUUAUCUUUGAUCUUGUCUGGGGUUUCUCAAAAUAUAGAGGAGCAUUUAGGGUUGUUUUUUUCAGUGGUUUGGGGGUGUCCUCUAGUGUCAGCUUUGCUAUAGGGUUUUGAAGCUGGUUCUCUAUGUAAUUUGCAGGGAAAGACUUUUACCUUUGUUAUUUAAGCUACUGUAUCUGCAUUUUUUUUUUAAUGGGGCUGGAGUUUAGGCUUGCCUUGAAUCAAGAGGUGCAUUUGGGUUUGCUCUGAAUUUGGAAGUGUUCCUUUUUCUGUAUUUUUUACUGUUUUUUCCAAUAUUGGUUGUAGAGUGCUAGCCUGUGGAGCCAUUUGUAUCAGGUUUUAAAGUUGAAUUACAAGAAAUCAUACUCCAAAAGUGUGUCUUUUCCUUGAAUUUUAAGCCUUUUUCUAGUGGGGUCUUUGUUAGUGUUUAUGGAUAGGCUGGGAGGUUUCUAAGACUGGUUGUUUGCUAUUUUAGUUUAUAAGGACUGUAUCUCUCAAUCUUUUAAGUUGCAUUGAGCUCUCUCUCUCUCUCUCUCUCUCUCUCUCUCUC
Molecule: long non-coding RNA, 1265 nt
Filed under: Amborella trichopoda
Lineage: Eukaryota; Viridiplantae; Streptophyta; Magnoliopsida; Amborellales; Amborellaceae
Description: long non-coding RNA (ATRI_LNC001466)
Source: RNAcentral